GCAGGCGUAGCUCAGCUGGUCCAGAGCAUCUCGUUUACACCGAGGGGGUCGGAGGUUCGAAUCCUUCCGCCUGUA
Molecule: transfer RNA, 75 nt
Filed under: Calditrichota bacterium
Lineage: Bacteria; Pseudomonadati; Calditrichota
Description: Calditrichaeota bacterium (activated sludge metagenome) tRNA-Val
Rfam family: tRNA
About the family: Transfer RNA (tRNA) molecules are approximately 80 nucleotides in length. Their secondary structure includes four short double-helical elements and three loops (D, anti-codon, and T loops).
Source: RNAcentral